This 253-nucleotide ribosomal RNA is filed under the name uncultured bacterium. RNAcentral describes it as "partial 16S ribosomal RNA". It matches the Rfam family "Bacterial small subunit ribosomal RNA", at positions 524 to 776 of the family's 1533-position model. The record is from RNAcentral.
UACGUAGGUGGCAAGCGUUGUCCGGAUUUAUUGGGUUUAAAGGGUGCGUAGGCGGUUUUAUAAGUCAGUGGUGAAAUACAACAGCUUAACUGUUGAGGUGCCAUUGAUACUGUAAGACUUGAGUACAGACGAGGUAGGCGGAAUUGACGGUGUAGCGGUGAAAUGCUUAGAUAUCGUCAAGAACACCGAUAGCGAAGGCAGCUUACUAGACUGUAACUGACGCUGAGGCACGAAAGUGUGGGGAUCAAACAGG